RNAcentral lists this ribosomal RNA (882 nucleotides) under Triticum aestivum (bread wheat). RNAcentral describes it as "partial small subunit ribosomal RNA". Lineage: Eukaryota; Viridiplantae; Streptophyta; Magnoliopsida; Poales; Poaceae. The record is from RNAcentral.
AUGCAGCAUCUUACACUUGCAGCAUCUAUGUCUGCUGCUGUUCUCUUUGCAUGCAUCCUGUAUGCUAAAAGUGCCGAUUUGAACUCCGACAAGCAGGCUCUUCUUGCAUUUCCUGCAUCCCUGCCCCAUGGAAGGAAGCUUAACUGGAGCUCCACGACACCUGUCUGCACUUCUUGGCUGGGAGUGAAAUGCACACCGGACAAUAGCCGUGUACACACACUAUGCCUACCUGCAUUAGGACUCUUUGGCCCAAUACCCUUAGAUACGCUUGGCAAGCUUGAUGCCCAGGAGGUGUUGAGCCUCCGGUCUAAUCGCCUUACUGUUGAGCUCCCUCCUGAUGUAGGAUCUAUUCCUUCUCUUCAUUCCCUCUAUCUGCAGCAUAAUAAUCUGUGUGGAAUCAUACCAACUACACUUUCAUCCAGCUUGACAUUCCUAGACCUGUGCUACAACACUUUCGAUGGGGAAAUCCCAUUGAGCGUGCAAAAUCUCACUGGACUUACUGCAAUCCUUCUCCAGAACAACUCUCUUUCUGGACCCAUCCCUGACCUACGUCUCGCCAAAUUGAGGCAUUUGAAUGUGAGCAACAACAACCUCAGUGGUCCAAUAUCACCUUCCUUUGCAGAAAUUCCCAGCCAGUUCCUUCUUAGGGAACACUUUUCUGUGUGGGUCACCAUUGGAACCCUGUCCUGGAACUGCGCCUUCUCCUUCACCGACACAACCACCAUCAGUGCCCAGCAAACGCAAGAAGAGUUUCUGGAAAAGGAUCAGCACAUGUGUUCUAAUUGCAAUUGCUGCUGCAGGAGGGGUAUUGUUGCUUCUCUUGGUUCUUGUACUCUUGAUAUGUAUUUUCAAGAGAAAGAAGCACACGGGACCACCCUCUGU